AACGAACGCUGGCGGCAUGCCUAACACAUGCAAGUCGAACGAGACCUUCGGGUCUAGUGGCGCACGGGUGCGUAACGCGUGGGAACCUGCCCUUAGAUUCGGAAUAACUCCCCGAAAGGGGUGCUAAUACCGGAUAAUGUCUUCGGACCAAAGAUUUAUCGCCUUUGGAUGGGCCCGCGUUGGAUUAGCUAGUUGGUAGGGUAAAAGCCUACCAAGGCGACGAUCCAUAGCUGGUCUGAGAGGAUGAUCAGCCACACUGGGACUGAGACACGGCCCAGACUCCUACGGGAGGCAGCAGUGGGGAAUAUUGGACAAUGGGCGAAAGCCUGAUCCAGCAAUGCCGCGUGAGUGAUGAAGGCCUUAGGGUUGUAAAGCUCUUUUACCCGGGAUGAUAAUGACAGUACCGGGAGAAUAAGCGCCGGCUAACUCCGUG
RNAcentral lists this ribosomal RNA (433 nucleotides) under uncultured bacterium. RNAcentral's name for it is "partial 16S ribosomal RNA". It matches the Rfam family "Bacterial small subunit ribosomal RNA", at positions 29 to 507 of the family's 1533-position model. The record is from RNAcentral.